This 257-nucleotide ribosomal RNA is filed under the name uncultured Desulfosarcina sp. RNAcentral's name for it is "partial 16S ribosomal RNA". It matches the Rfam family "Bacterial small subunit ribosomal RNA", at positions 1127 to 1382 of the family's 1533-position model. The record is from RNAcentral. Lineage: Bacteria; Pseudomonadati; Thermodesulfobacteriota; Desulfobacteria; Desulfobacterales; Desulfosarcinaceae.
CGGGUGGGGACGUCUAGAGAUACUGCCCCGGUCAACGGGGAGGAAGGUGGGGAUGACGUCAAGUCCUCAUGGCCUUUAUGCCUAGGGCUACACACGUGCUACAAUGGGCGGUACAAAGGGUCGCGAUCCCGCGAGGGGGAGCCAAUCCCAAAAAGCCGUCCCAAGUUCGGAUUGGAGUCUGCAACUCGACUCCAUGAAGCUGGAAUCGCUAGUAAUCGCGGAUCAGCAUGCCGCGGUCGAAUACGUUCCCGGGCCUU